CUUUCACAGAACUUUGAGUCGCGGCCGUCAACCCCCUCUGCUAGGGUUCCGCCCCCACUGUUACGUGAGCCAGGAAGUUCCGUUACUCCAUUCCUGUAGUGCAUCCUUGGAGCUGCCGUGCUCGUGGUCACGUAGUAGAGGUCUUCGCUAAGUUUUUCCAGAUGAGCGAGGUUCUCAUGGGCAACAAGGGCAUGGCGACUCCGCUACUUAGCCAUCUGGGCUGGAUCUCACACUUCUUUCUUUCUUGUUUUCUUUAGGGCUAUGGCCCCUGUAUUCGUGGUUUUUAGAUUGUAACUUUUAGUCAAACUGCUAUCCUACUUUUGUUGGCAUCGUGGUGUGCCUAAUUUUGUAGGGGUGAUGUUGGGGACCCCAGGACUGCGUUGUUAU
Molecule: long non-coding RNA, 387 nt
Organism: Vigna unguiculata (cowpea)
Lineage: Eukaryota; Viridiplantae; Streptophyta; Magnoliopsida; Fabales; Fabaceae
Source: RefSeq, a predicted model, not a curated record